AGCGAACGUUAGCGGCGGGCUUAACACAUGCAAGUCGAGCGAGAAAGGGGCUUCGGCCCUGAGUACAGCGGCGGACGGGUGAAUAACACGUAGGUAACCUUCCUUCCAGCGGGGGACAACGGUCCGAAAGGACCGCUAAUACCGCAUACGUUCCCUGGGACCCUGGUCCCGGGGAGGAAAGCUCCGCAAAGGGGCACUGGAUGAGGGGCCUGCGUAGCAUCAGCUAGUUGGUGGGGUAAUGGCCUACCGAGGCUAAGACGCUUAGCUGGUCUGAGAGGAUGAUCAGCCACACUGGGACUGAGACACGGCCCAGACUCCUACGGGAGGCAGCAGUGGGGAAUAUUGGACAAUGGGCGCAAGCCUGAUCCAGCCACGCCGCGUGAGUGAUGAAGGCCU
This 396-nucleotide ribosomal RNA is filed under the name uncultured bacterium. Its description in RNAcentral is "bacterial SSU rRNA". It matches the Rfam family "Bacterial small subunit ribosomal RNA", at positions 29 to 417 of the family's 1533-position model. The record is from RNAcentral.